CCUACGGGUGGCUGCAGUGAGGAAUAUUGGUCAAUGGGCGCGAGCCUGAACCAGCCAAGUCGCGUGAGGGAAGACGGUCCUAUGGAUUGUAAACCUCUUUUGUCGGGGAGAAACAGACGCCACGCGUGGCGUUCCGAGAGUACCCGAAGAAAACGCAUCGGCUAACUCCGUGCCCGCAGCCGCGGUAAUACGGGGGAUGCGAGCGUUCACCGGAUUUAUUGGGUUUAAAGGGUGCGCAGGGGUAAGAUCAAGACAGCGGUACAAGUGAGAGGCUCAACCUCUUCGAGCCGUUGAAACUGGUUUUCUUGAGUGAGGGAGAAGGAUGCGGAAUGCGUGGUGGAGCGGUGAAAUGCAUAGAUAGCACGCAGAACGCCGAUUGCGAAGGCAGCAUACCGGCGCUCAACUGACGCUCAUGCACGAAAGUGUGGGUAUCGAACAGGAGUAGAUACCCUUGUAGUC
This 459-nucleotide ribosomal RNA is filed under the name uncultured bacterium. RNAcentral describes it as "partial 16S ribosomal RNA". It matches the Rfam family "Bacterial small subunit ribosomal RNA", at positions 338 to 795 of the family's 1533-position model. The record is from RNAcentral.